Molecule: long non-coding RNA, 309 nt
Filed under: Salvia miltiorrhiza (redroot sage)
Lineage: Eukaryota; Viridiplantae; Streptophyta; Magnoliopsida; Lamiales; Lamiaceae
Description: long non-coding RNA (SMIL_LNC012802)
Source: RNAcentral
GCACCCUUAUAACGCCUCAUACAUGAUUAGUGCCCGAAUGGAGAUCAACCAACCGAAACAACUAACAAGUGUACACAAUUCUCAAACAACGUAUUAGGUCAUAAGAGAACCUCAAUUGAUUAACUGUGCGAGCCUUAAACAGAGCAGAGUGCACAUAAACAUUUUAUUGGAUAAACAGUUUUCAUUACAUUAAAUAAAUAAUUUGCAUUUCAUUGAAACAUUUAGAGCUUAAUAACUCAAUCAUACUUUGUACAUUUGGAAAGUAAGCCCACCUGGUUAGGCAAAGCCUGAAGAUCAUAAUCACUUAUA